AGCUCCGGCUAACUCCGUGCCAGCAGCCGCAAUAAUACGGGGGGAGCAAGCGUUGUUCAGAUUUACGGGCUAAAGGGCGCGUAGCGCGCCACCGCAAGUCGAUGUGAAAUCUCCGGGCUUACCCCGGAAAGGUCAGCCGAUACUGCGGGGCUAGAGUGCAGAAGGGGCAACUGGAAUUCUCGGUGUAGCGGUGAAAUGCGCAGAUAUCAGGAGGAACACCGGUGGCGAAGGCGGGUCUCUGGGCAGUAACUGACGCUGAGGAGCGAAAGCGUGGGGAGCGAACAGGAUUAGAUACCCUGGUAGUCCACGCCGUAAACGUUGGGCGCUAGGUGUGGGGGCCAUUCCACGGUCUCCGUGCCGCAGCUAACGCAUUAAGCGCCCCGCCUGGGGAGUACGGCCGCAAGGCUAAAACUCAAAGGAAUUGACGGGGGCCCGCACAAGCGGCGGAGCAUGUUGCUUAAUUCGAUGCAACGCGAAGAACCUUACCUAGGCUUGACAUGCACGGAAAUCUCGUAGAGAUACGGGGUGCCUUUGGCGUCGUGCACAGGUGGUGCAUGGUUGUCGUCAGCUCGUGUCGUGAGAUGUUGGGUUAAGUCCCGCAACGAGCGCAACCCUUAUCAAUAGUUGCCAGCGGUUCGGCCGGGCACUCUAUUGAGACUGCCGUUGACAAAACGGAGGAAGGUGGGGAUGACGUCAAGUCCUCAUGGCCUUUAUGUCCAGGGCUACACACGUGCUACAAUGGCAAGUACAAACCGCCGCAAACCAGCAAUGGGGAGCCAAUCGGAAAAAGCUUGUCUCAGUUCGGAUUGGGGUCUGCAACUCGACCCCAUGAAGUUGGAGUCGCUAGUAAUCGCAGAUCAGCAACGCCGCGGUGAAUACGUUCCCGGG
This 888-nucleotide ribosomal RNA is filed under the name uncultured bacterium. Its description in RNAcentral is "bacterial SSU rRNA". It matches the Rfam family "Bacterial small subunit ribosomal RNA", at positions 488 to 1378 of the family's 1533-position model. The record is from RNAcentral.